RNAcentral lists this ribosomal RNA (144 nucleotides) under uncultured bacterium. Its description in RNAcentral is "partial 16S rRNA". It matches the Rfam family "Bacterial small subunit ribosomal RNA", at positions 352 to 511 of the family's 1533-position model. The record is from RNAcentral.
CAGUGGGGAAUUUUCCGCAAUGGGCGAAAGCCUGACGGAGCAAUGCCGCGUGGAGGUGGAAGGCCUACGGGCCGUCAACUUCUUUUCUCGGAGAAGAAACAAUGACGGUAUCUGAGGAAUAAGCAUCGGCUAACUCUGUGUCAG